Mycena rebaudengoi is the source of this 89-nucleotide non-coding RNA. Lineage: Eukaryota; Fungi; Basidiomycota; Agaricomycetes; Agaricales; Mycenaceae. The record is from the annotation of a GenBank genome assembly.
GACCUAAUAGCAAAGUUGGCAUCGCAUCCACUGCACUUGGCAGAGUAAUUCUUAUGUGGAAGUCCCUCGUUCGAAUCGAGGUUAGGUCC